GUUUUCUCAGACUACCAGAUCAUGAGACUGCUAUUAUAAAUUUCUGAUCAAGUCAGUAUGCAGAAGGCUAUUGUGACACUCUCUCUGAUCUCACACAGGAGGCAACAAAUAUAAGACUGAAGGAUCCUGUAUUCAUUGCCUCAGCAAAGGUGCAGAAGAUGUGAAGCAGAAAUAGCCCAGAAGACCCUUUAUGGACUAAAAGUUUAUGUCCUUCUAAAAUUCAUAUGUUGAAGCCUUCACCCCCAGCGCGGCUUGGAGAAGGGACGUCUAAGGAUGUAGUUAAGGUUAAAUGAAGUCAUAAGAGCGGAGCUCUGAUCCAAUAGGAUUAGCGUCCUUAUAAUAAGAGACACCAGAGUGUUUGCUAGCUCUCUCCCCACCUGCACACACUGAGCAAAGGCCAUGGAAGGACAGCAAGAAGGCUGCCAUCUGCAAGCCGGGAGAGUUCUCACCAGAAACCUACCCUGCAGGACCUUACCCUGGACUUCGAGCUUCCAGACUGUGAGGAGGGGCACGUAAGUGCAAGACUUUCACUAUGGUAGACACUUAGAAGUGGGAUGACUGGAUCAUACCGGGUGUGAAGGUUCAUCUUUACAAGAUAGUGCCAAAUGGCUUGCCACAGUGGUGUACCAAUUCACGCUCGCACUAAUA
This 648-nucleotide long non-coding RNA is filed under the name Equus caballus (horse). RNAcentral's name for it is "lncRNA (ENSECAG00000053307.1)". Lineage: Eukaryota; Metazoa; Chordata; Mammalia; Perissodactyla; Equidae. The record is from RNAcentral.